CGGCCGAGCGAGCGCGGGGAAGACUCUGGCUGUGGGCAUUUCUAUGUCUCCUUUCUCCUCCCGAGCAAGGAAGGAAAGAGAGAAGGAAGGAAGGAAGCGAGGAAGGAGGGGACUGUCUCGAUGGAAGGUUCAGGCGGAGGCGCCCUCGCCUUGCUGGUGCACCGGCCGCAGAGUGGCUCCAGCCGCUGCCGGCUGGACCCGGGCGCGAGGAGACGGAUUGGUGAAUUUACCUGAGAAAUUGAAAAUCAAGAUUAUGAAAACGUGUGACUAG
RNAcentral lists this long non-coding RNA (271 nucleotides) under Ictidomys tridecemlineatus (thirteen-lined ground squirrel). RNAcentral describes it as "lncRNA (ENSSTOG00000032686.1)". Lineage: Eukaryota; Metazoa; Chordata; Mammalia; Rodentia; Sciuridae. The record is from RNAcentral.